UGUGUUAUUGUAAUAAUUGAUGUUGUAUGUAUAUUGUAUGUACGCGUACUGUGUAGCCGUGUAUAGGUACUUACUACUUGGUUCGUACCAAUUUAUCGAUUUAUGUUUUUCAGUUUUUAUAACGCACUAACGCAGUACGUUCAAAACUGACCUAUUUCGAUGUCUUUUUUAGUCUCGUACGAAUCGUUGUAAUGUCUACGAAAAGCGUUUGACAAGUAACAACGAUGGAAAACCAGUCGAUUGACAAUAAACCGGCCAUCGUGAGCCCGCCGAGACAAGUUCUGCCUGGUUAUGUAGCACAACAGCCUCCACCACACACUAACCAAAUACACCUGCAGACAGACUUUACGUCUCCACCACCAACGCACCCCCAUGGGUUCUGGCCGCAACAAGCUUUUCCUAAUUCAUGGCAAACACAGUUCCGUAUGCCCAGUCCCGCACCACAAACCAAGACUACCGUCACAAACACUACGACAUGUAAUAAUAAUUCUCCUACGUUCAGUUCCACUAGUAACAGUACUAUAAGAUCACCUUUGCCACGCUGGAGGUCAUUCAACAACACAGCACGUCAACGAACACCUUAUCAAUAUGGGAAUACUCCAAGAAACAAUUAUCCAAGACAAUUUUCUCAAAAUGCUAACGGGAAUUUCUUUGCUAAUUCUCCACAAAACCCACAAACACCAUCUUCAUCAUCAACUCAAAAUUGGCCACAAUUCAAUCAAAGACCUCGGUUUAUACCAAGACAACACAUGCGUAUGAACAGACCUCGUAGUUCUGUUCAAAAUCAAUCAAAUGGAACUAAUCAGGAAACAAAUGCCGUGACAGAAUGCAAAACACGGAAGCGCAAAUUAAAAUCACAGCAAUCAGGAGAACCACAACGUGCUCAAAAGCCAUGGAACCGUGAGGAUGCUGUAAAAGCAAUUGCUGCUGAAAUGGAACUACGAACACCUAAAAACAAUCAACAAAUUAUGAUCAGAUUUCCAGAUCAUGAAAUUACGCGGCAAAUUGUUCAGAACUUUCAUACUGACAUUAAAUCUGUACAUUUCCAUACACCAUGUAAUCCAAGAUAUUGUUAUGUGCAAGUACAACCAAGUGCAAAUAUUGAAAAUGUUGCAAAUGCGCUAAAUGAAACAGUUUUCCAACAUGAAAAAUUGCGUGUAGAAAUUAAAGAAAGUCAGUUUGAAGAGAAGGCAUUCCCAGAGUGCAUUGAUCCAUACACAUUAUAUCUUGGAAAUUUGCCAACAAAUAUCACAUCUAAUGCUGUUAAAGAUGAGUUUCCAAAAGCCACUCGAGUUGAUAUUGGGUUUGCUAAAAAAAUGAAGUACACAAGAUAUGCAUUUAUCAAAUUUUCUAAUGCUGAAGAUGCGAUACAAGCAUAUAAAGAAAAAUAUAAUUUGGUUAUUGAUAGCCGAUCAGUUGUAUUAAGAUUUAGACGCGGUAAAGGAAAUGUAAAUCCACCUGGACAAGUAGAUAAAUUACCAAAUGAGAUGAAUGAAUUUGACAUACAAAGCUUACGGAAAAAAAUCAAGAGAGAACCUAUAGAAGAAAAUAUUGAUGAAUAUGAUCCUCCUCCAAUUAAUGUAUCCAGAAUAGUUAAGCCUGAAAUGAUGGAAGAAGAUGAUUAUGAACAUGAUUCUGUGUAUGAAUCUCAUGUACCAUAUGGAAAUGAUAUAAAUAUUAAAUCCGAGUGUCCUGAUUAUGAUGAUGAGUAUGAUGAACAAUAUUAUGAAGACGAAGAUCCAUCAAAUGUAUCUUACACUUUCCGAAGAAAUGAAACUGUCAGUAUGGAUGUAGUACUUGCUGAUAAUAAUAGUGUACAGUGCAUUCAAACUAGUAACAGUGACGAUAUCACAAUACCUACUGGAGUUGAGGAUGAAGACAGACGAUGGAAUGAAAAACCAGAUGACGAAGAUGAAUUUGAAAUGCCAUAUUCAUUUGUAUCUAAAAAACAAAUACUAUCAGAAAGUAACAAAGACAUCACUUUGCCUACAUCCGAUGAAAUUCAUGAUGGUGGGAGCGACAGAGAAGACCAAAGAUGGAACAAUUCUUCAGAUGAUGAUAAUGAUGAUGGCGGUGCUGAAUACAAUUGGGAAGGAUUAAAUGAGCAAAAAAAAUCCGAGAAACAAACUAAAGAUUAUGAAAAACGAGAAUAUAACUUUAAAAAAUCAGAUGACAUUAAAGCCGUUAAAUGAUUCAAAUUCAAACUUGAAAUACACACGAGUCUUGUUCACUCAAUGUGGCCAAAAGGGUAUGUAGGUUUGUAUCGGCCCGGUAUUGGGGCAUGUCAAGACGCAAAACUGAUGCACGUGUACUGAAGCGACAGAAGGAACGUUGAUCAAAAGCUGUAAAUCAGACCUCAAAUGAAUGGAACUCACAACACGCCAUCUAUUCUAUUUUCCAAACUGUACUAUUGAACUCAAUCUACAUUAAGGAUCCCUUCAAACAUUCCUCUGCAUCGCGUAUGUUUUAAAUGUUUUAAUCCUAUAUAUUAUCAUAGUUAAUCAAUAUUAUAUCUUGUUGUUAAAGCUGUGUGUUAAUUGGUGAAUAUAGUCUUAGUAGGAAUCUAUCUUUCUGUACAAGGUGUUCCUCUAAAUAUCAUUGUACUUUUUUGAUUGGCCGCUGGUUUAGAAUCUGUAUGAUUAGAUGAAUAAAACAUCCUCGCCCCAGUUUUUGUUUUGGCCAAUUGAGAAUAGUGCUUAAAAUUAUCGAGGUAGCCUUUAUUAACUAUUUAUAUAUAAGUGUAGAAUAGUAAUUUCCUCUUGUAAUUUUAGCAUAGUAUAUUGUGUUUAGUACUUUAAGUUCUACAAUAAUUAUACUUAUAUAGUCAAUAUUAUAUAAUUACACACAUCACAUAUAAUAUAAUAUAUUAUACCAUAAACUAGUUCCUCUAUAUUCAGUGUUACAAAUACACAUACAUUUUAUCAUAUAUUGUCAUAUUUUUUUCUUUAUAGUUAUGUACUUCCAACAUAAUUUAUGAUUUAAAUUAUGUAAAUAGAAGAAAAAAGUUGUACUUGUGUGUUGGAUGUACAUGAAUAAUGUCUGUUAAUUGUCUAUAAUGUGUUGUGGAGCUAAUGUUUUUAAUAUAAUAUUAUAAAUGUACGGUAUACAAAAAAAGACUAACGGUGUUAUAAGAUUUUGAUGUGAAAGUCAUUUAAAUUGAAGGUUUUACUGAAUAUUAAACUUGUGUAUUGACCGUCAUGGUAUAAUAUUGUAUAAAAAAAUUUUGAUGGAAUUUGAAUAUUUUUUUUUUUUUUUUUUAUGGUUUACCAAUAAGUCUGUGCUCAUUAUUAUCGUAUUAUAUUUACAUUAUUUUUUUUUUUAUAUAUACAUACUAAAUUUCAAUAUUUAAAUACAUAUAAGCUUACAGUUGUUGUUUUGGCUCUGCAUAAUUGAAAAAAUAUAAAAAUUAUAAUUAUAAUUAUUAUGCAUCAUGCUAUAACAAACAUAUCGGGUAAUUUAUGAUUAUUUAUAAUGUAUAGUUUGCUUUAAAAUUAAGAUUGAUAUAUUUAAAUAGUUAACAUUAGCAUAUAUUGUAAUUAAAAUCAAAAGGGAUUUUAAUUUACGUAAUAAAAUACUAGAUAUUUAUGUAUAUAUAUAAAAAAAUAAAUAAACUACAGACUCUUCGGCGUUUGUAGCUUAUAUGAAUAAGACUUUUAGACAAAAACUUAUAUAAUUAUUACUAAAAUGUAUUAAAUUUAAGUUCGCGUAUAACAUCAUUACAUAUUUUGAUUAGACAAUGCCUGAUGUUGACUCAUCUUUCUAAUAUUAACUUAUCAGGAAUUGAGACUUAAAGUAGCUACCAUUAUUCAUUGUGUUUUUUGGUGUUAAACAGCCUUAAAUUUGAGCAAGAUAAUUUGUUUCUAGUUUUAGGCGAUAAAAUAUACUAAACUUCAUGCAGUAUUGUAGCUAUUUUCACAUGGUUUUUUUUUUCAAUGUAAAUGUCUUAACUUUUUAUAAUUGUCAUUAUUAUUAUAACUUACUAUUAUUUUGAUCAUUUAUUGUAAUUUAAAAUAUUUCUCUGAUAUAUUUUAUACAUUAAUAUUAUUUUAUUAUUUUAUAUAUUAUAUUUUAUUUUAUUUGUUUAAGUAUAUUCAAAAUGUUAAUUUUUAAGUAUUUUUGCCUAUAAAUGCUUCAAAUUCUGAUAUUUCUUAUAGUAUAAUUAAAAACCAUAAUUUCAUAUGCAUAAAUUGUGUAUUUCCUUUGAGGACUGUUUUGUAUUGUAUUUAAUGAGGAGAGUAGUCACUGAAUUAUUUUACCUUAGGUACUCUAAUUAGGUUUGUAUAUUUAAAUAUUAUACUGUAAAUAAGUAUAAUUUUAGAACCUAAUGGUUACAAAUUAAACAGAAAUUGAAAGAAAAAAAUCAGAAUUUGAAAAUAUAUAGUUGAAGCAUUAAAAUUGGGUAAGCAUACUUAAAAAUCAUUCUUUAGUCUUUAUAAUCUAUAUGAAACAAAUUUUAAAUUUCACAAAAUAUUGUAUUCUUUAUGGAAAAAAAUAUAUAUAAGUCUUGUCUUUUGUGUUUCUAUUUUGAUUUUCUAAUGUAAUACAUUUAUAUUUUUUAUUAUUUUUUAUCUAUUGCGACACGGGACAUUUAUACUUUUUUUUUAUUGAAUUGUUAUACUUAUAACUCAAUGUUCAGGAGACAUUUACAUCUGUUUCCAUUAUUUAGUACUGAUGAAUUUGUACUUUAUUUGAUAAUAAUUUAUGUUAAUAUCUAAGUUUUCAUAAGAAUAAACUACAUUUGUAGAUUCGUGAGUAA
Molecule: RNA transcript, 4756 nt
Organism: Rhopalosiphum padi (bird cherry-oat aphid)
Lineage: Eukaryota; Metazoa; Arthropoda; Insecta; Hemiptera; Aphididae
Gene: Pof
Exons: 14
Source: RefSeq, a predicted model, not a curated record